Molecule: long non-coding RNA, 711 nt
Organism: Hibiscus syriacus
Lineage: Eukaryota; Viridiplantae; Streptophyta; Magnoliopsida; Malvales; Malvaceae
Exons: 3
Source: RefSeq, a predicted model, not a curated record
UGAUAAUGAUGUUAUUGUAGGUGCUUCAGUGGACGUCAAGGUCCGAGGGAAGAGGCAGCUGAAGCUCUCGAGUCGAGGCGAGACGUAUGAAAUGAACUCCCCCAACCUUUUGAUAAGAUUUCUUCCGCUGCCCGGAGCUGAUUGGGCUGGAAAUGUUGGAGUCGGGUGCAAAGAAACCGAGUUCGAAGCCGAGUUACAAUACGGACCCAAGUCUUUUCUUGGCCUUAGACGAAGCCACAGAUCACUUAAAGGAAAGAUCUUUGAAACAUCAACAAAGAGGAUCCUUUUCGAACUUGAUGGCCAUUGGGAUAGAACAGUGACAGUAAAGGACAAUAAUAGCGGGGAGUUGAGGGUUAUAUACAAUGCAGAAGAAGUGUAUUCAGAGCUGUGAACUUCUGUAGUUAAAGAUCUGCAGCGGGUGGAAUCGACCGAAUCAGCAGCCGUGUGGAGCAAUGUAAGUGAGGCCAUAAUGAGUCGGAAUUGGUAGAAAGUGAAAGAAGCGAAGAAUGCAGUCAAGGAAAACCAGAGGGAGGCGUCGAGAGGAAUGGAGUCCAAAGGAAAAACUUGGGUUCCCCAGCAUUUCAGUUUGAGUUAUAGCAAAGUGUCUGGGAGUGUUCACCUACUCAACAAUGGGUUCCACCUGCUCCUAUUGUUGUUCCUCUUAUGUAACCUUAUUUAAGAAAACAUUCAACACAACCUUAAGUAGUUUAU